RNAcentral lists this ribosomal RNA (536 nucleotides) under Dietzia maris. Its description in RNAcentral is "bacterial SSU rRNA". It matches the Rfam family "Bacterial small subunit ribosomal RNA", at positions 924 to 1459 of the family's 1533-position model. Lineage: Bacteria; Bacillati; Actinomycetota; Actinomycetes; Mycobacteriales; Dietziaceae. The record is from RNAcentral.
CACAAGCGGCGGAGCAUGUGGAUUAAUUCGAUGCAACGCGAAGAACCUUACCUAGGCUUGACAUAUACAGGACGACGGCAGAGAUGUCGUUUCCCUUGUGGCUUGUAUACAGGUGGUGCAUGGUUGUCGUCAGCUCGUGUCGUGAGAUGUUGGGUUAAGUCCCGCAACGAGCGCAACCCCUGUCUCAUGUUGCCAGCACGUUAUGGUGGGGACUCGUGAGAGACUGCCGGGGUCAACUCGGAGGAAGGUGGGGAUGACGUCAAAUCAUCAUGCCCCUUAUGUCUAGGGCUUCACACAUGCUACAAUGGCUAGUACAGAGGGCUGCGAUACCGUGAGGUGGAGCGAAUCCCUUAAAGCUGGUCUCAGUUCGGAUUGGGGUCUGCAACUCGACCCCAUGAAGUCGGAGUCGCUAGUAAUCGCAGAUCAGCAAUGCUGCGGUGAAUACGUUCCCGGGCCUUGUACACACCGCCCGUCACGUCAUGAAAGUCGGUAACACCCGAAGCCGGUGGCCCAACCCUUGUGGAGGGAGCCGUCGA